AGGGGUGUAGCUCCAAUUGGUAGAGCGGCGGUCUCCAAAACCGCAUGUUGUGAGUUCGAGUCUCCCCACCCCUG
This 74-nucleotide transfer RNA is filed under the name Shewanella morhuae. Its description in RNAcentral is "tRNA_Trp_CCA". It matches the Rfam family "tRNA". Rfam says of the family: Transfer RNA (tRNA) molecules are approximately 80 nucleotides in length. RNAcentral also lists the same sequence under 1 other name. The record is from RNAcentral. Lineage: Bacteria; Pseudomonadati; Pseudomonadota; Gammaproteobacteria; Alteromonadales; Shewanellaceae.